CACGUAGGGGCCAAGCGUUGUCCGGAUUUAUUGGGCGUAAAGAGCUCGUAGGCGGUUCAGCAAGUCGGGUGUGAAAACUCUGGGCUCAACCCAGAGACGCCACCCGAUACUGCUGUGACUAGAGUCCGGUAGGGGAGUGGGGAAUUCCUGGUGUAGCGGUGAAAUGCACAGAUAUCAGGAGGAACACCGGUGGCGAAGGCGCCACUCUGGGCCGGCACUGACGCUGAGGAGCGAAAGCG
This 239-nucleotide ribosomal RNA is filed under the name uncultured bacterium. RNAcentral describes it as "partial 16S ribosomal RNA". It matches the Rfam family "Bacterial small subunit ribosomal RNA", at positions 524 to 761 of the family's 1533-position model. The record is from RNAcentral.